RNAcentral lists this ribosomal RNA (536 nucleotides) under Fusarium fujikuroi. Its description in RNAcentral is "eukaryotic LSU rRNA". The stretch from base 176 to 329 matches the Rfam family "5.8S ribosomal RNA". Lineage: Eukaryota; Fungi; Ascomycota; Sordariomycetes; Hypocreales; Nectriaceae. The record is from RNAcentral.
UAGGGUGAACCUGCGGAGGGAUCAUUACCGAGUUUACAACUCCCAAACCCCUGUGAACAUACCAAUUGUUGCCUCGGCGGAUCAGCCCGCUCCCGGUAAAACGGGACGGCCCGCCAGAGGACCCCUAAACUCUGUUUCUAUAUGUAACUUCUGAGUAAAACCAUAAAUAAAUCAAAACUUUCAACAACGGAUCUCUUGGUUCUGGCAUCGAUGAAGAACGCAGCAAAAUGCGAUAAGUAAUGUGAAUUGCAGAAUUCAGUGAAUCAUCGAAUCUUUGAACGCACAUUGCGCCCGCCAGUAUUCUGGCGGGCAUGCCUGUUCGAGCGUCAUUUCAACCCUCAAGCCCAGCUUGGUGUUGGGACUCGCGAGUCAAAUCGCGUUCCCCAAAUUGAUUGGCGGUCACGUCGAGCUUCCAUAGCGUAGUAGUAAAACCCUCGUUACUGGUAAUCGUCGCGGCCACGCCGUUAAACCCCAACUUCUGAAUGUUGACCUCGGAUCAGGUAGGAAUACCCGCUGAACUUAAGCAUAUCAAUAGC